AACGCGAAGAACCUUACCAAGGCUUGACAUAUAGCGAAAAGUGGCAGAGAUGUCAUGUCCGCAAGGGCGCUAUACAGGUGGUGCAUGGUUGUCGUCAGCUCGUGUCGUGAGAUGUUGGGUUAAGUCCCGCAACGAGCGCAACCCUCGUUCUGUGUUACCAGCAUUAAGUUGGGGACUCACAGGAGACUGCCGGGGUUAACUCGGAGGAAGGUGGGGAUGACGUCAAAUCAUCAUGCCCCUUAUGUCUUGGGCUGCACGCAUGCUACAAUGGCCGGUACAAAGUGCUGCGAAAUCGUAAGAUUUAGCGAAUCACAUAAAGCCGGUCUCAGUUCGGAUUGAGGUCUGCAACUCGACCUCAUGAAGUUGGAGUUGCUAGUAAUCGUAGAUCAGCAACGCUACGGUGAAUACGUUCCCGGGUCUUGUACACACCG
This 431-nucleotide ribosomal RNA is filed under the name uncultured bacterium. RNAcentral's name for it is "bacterial SSU rRNA". It matches the Rfam family "Bacterial small subunit ribosomal RNA", at positions 958 to 1392 of the family's 1533-position model. The record is from RNAcentral.